This 520-nucleotide ribosomal RNA is filed under the name uncultured Glomus. RNAcentral's name for it is "SSU rRNA". It matches the Rfam family "Eukaryotic small subunit ribosomal RNA", at positions 569 to 1092 of the family's 1831-position model. Lineage: Eukaryota; Fungi; Glomeromycota; Glomeromycetes; Glomerales; Glomeraceae. The record is from RNAcentral.
AGCAGUCGCGGUAAUUCCAGCUCCAAUAGCGUAUAUUAAAGUUGUUGCAGUUAAAAAGCUCGUAGUUGAAUUUCGAGAUCAAAUUGUUGGUCGUGCCUCGGUACGUACUGGCAUUAUUGAUUUCUCCCUUCUGAAGAACCUUGAUGUCAUUAAUUUGGUGUCUUGGGGAAUCAGGACCGUUACUUUGAAAAAAUUAGAGUGUUUAAAGCAGGCUCACGCUUGAAUACAUUAGCAUGGAAUAAUGAAAUAGGACGUUUGAUUCUAUUUUGUUGGUUUCUAGGAUCGACGUAAUGAUUAAUAGGGGUAGUUGGGGGCAUUAAUAUUCAAUUGUCAGAGGUGGAAUUCUUGGAUUUAUUGAAGACUAACUACUGCGAAAGCAUUUGCCAAGGAUGUUUUCAUUAACCAAGAACGAAAGUUAGGGGAUCGAAGACGAUCAGAUACCGUCGUAGUCUUAACCAUAAACUAUGCCGACUAGGGAUCGGAUGAUGUUAAUUUUUAAUGACUCAUUCGGCGCCUUACG